CACUGGGUAAGCCAACAGUGAAGACCAAGAAGGAAAAGCACCCCUCCAGGAAUGAUUCUCUAGCAGCCUAGAGACUUCCUGGGGACUCACAGAAAAAAUGCUACCAAAUCCUGAACUCUACCCAGCUCUUCUCCCUUCCUGGGGGAACAACCAUGUGGACUUCCAAUAAGAACACGAGCUUAAAGAACGAGUUAUUCCUUCUGACCCAAGUAAAGCACAUGGCCCAUUUCCUGUUCACCAGAGAACUUCAUUAGAGGGAAACUGCAGACAUAGCAUUCAAUUAUAAAAACCUAUUCAGAUUU
Homo sapiens (human) is the source of this 302-nucleotide long non-coding RNA. Ensembl annotates it as SAP30BP antisense RNA 1. Its record names the gene SAP30BP-AS1. The record is from Ensembl. Lineage: Eukaryota; Metazoa; Chordata; Mammalia; Primates; Hominidae.